RNAcentral lists this ribosomal RNA (490 nucleotides) under uncultured bacterium. Its description in RNAcentral is "partial 16S ribosomal RNA". It matches the Rfam family "Bacterial small subunit ribosomal RNA", at positions 30 to 507 of the family's 1533-position model. The record is from RNAcentral.
AUUGAACGCUGGCGGCAGGCCUAACACAUGCCAGUCGAACGGUAACAGGAAGAAGCUUGCUUCUUUGCUGACGAGUGGCGGACGGGUGUGUAAUGUCUGGGAAACUGCCUGAUGGAGGGGGAUAACUACUGGAAACGGUAGCUAAUACCGCAUAACUUCGCAAGACCAAAGAGGGGGACCUUCGGGCCUCUUUCCAGCGGAUGUUCCCAGAUGGGAUUAGCUAGUAGGUGGGGUAACGGCUCACCUAGGCGACGAUCCCUAGCUGGUCUGAGAGGAUGACCAGCCACACUGGAACUGAGACACGGUCCAGACUCCUACGGGAGGCAGCAGUGGGGAAUAUUGCACAAUGGGCGAAAGCCUGAUGCAGCCAUGCCGCGUGUAUGAAGAAGGCCUUCGGGUUGUAAAGUACUUUCAGCGGGGAGGAAGGGAGUAAAGUUAAUACCUUUACUCAUUGACGUUACCCGCAGAAGAAGCACCGGCUAACUACGUG